GGGGAAUAUUGGACAAUGGGCGCAAGCCUGAUCCAGCCAUGCCGCGUGGGUGAAGAAGGCCGUGGGGUAGUAAAGCCCUGUUGGGGGGGAAAAAAAGCAGGCGGCCAAUAGCCGGUUGUUCUGAUGGUAAACGAAGAAUAAGCACCGGCUAACGUCGUGCCAGCAGCCGCGGUAAUACGAAGGGUGCAAGCGUUACUCGGAAUUACUGGGCGUAAAGCGUGCGUAGGUGGUGGUUUAAGUCCGUUGUGAAAGCCCUGGGCUCAACCUGGGAACUGCAGUGGAUACUGGAUCACUAGAGUGUGGCAGAGGGUAGUGGAAUUCCCGGUGUAGCAGUGAAAUGCGUAGAGAUCGGGAGGAACAUCAGUGGCGAAGGCGACUGCCUGGGCCAACACUGACACUGAGGCACGAAAGCGUGGGGAGCAAACA
This 426-nucleotide ribosomal RNA is filed under the name uncultured Lysobacteraceae bacterium. Its description in RNAcentral is "bacterial SSU rRNA". It matches the Rfam family "Bacterial small subunit ribosomal RNA", at positions 356 to 774 of the family's 1533-position model. Lineage: Bacteria; Pseudomonadati; Pseudomonadota; Gammaproteobacteria; Lysobacterales; Lysobacteraceae. The record is from RNAcentral.